Siniperca chuatsi (mandarin fish) is the source of this 1010-nucleotide RNA transcript. RefSeq lists it as uncharacterized. The record is from RefSeq and is a predicted model, not a curated record. Lineage: Eukaryota; Metazoa; Chordata; Actinopteri; Centrarchiformes; Sinipercidae. The transcript has 2 exons.
GCUAAUCAGCACCAACAAGACUACCAAGAAACAGGAGGGCUGUGUACUGGGUAAUAAAUCUAAAAGUGGUAGUCCUCCCUGGAACUCUCUUGGUGCAAAGCCAAGUGGUUGCACAUCCAAAUGUGGAAAAUAUCAUACUGCGCAUGCACCAAUGAUGUUGUGAAACAACAGUCUGAUGUGCUUAAACGGGACUUUAAUGAUCUGUUGAACACAGUCAGCUCUCUGAAUGCUGAGGUGUUUAUCAGUGGCCCUCUACCACCAGUCAGAAGAGGAGUUGAGAGAUUCAGCAGAUUGCUGGCACUGAACACAUGGCUCUCAACUGCAUGCACUGUCCAUUCAGUGCAUUUUAUUGACAAUUUCAACUUUUUUCUGGGACUUUUUUUUAAAGCAGAUGGACUCUGCCUUAACAAGUCAGGAGUUAAACUGUUCAUCCCUAACCUAUUUUACUUCCUGCGUCACCCAUCUGUUCCUUCUGCCAAGGACAAGAUACAAGAGGAAUCAAAACAGGAGGAAGACACAACACAGCGUGGCAGAAACCUUGAAGGAGAGCUACCCCAGCCCCCGUCUGAAGAGAGCUUUAAUCAUCAGAGAGAGAAAGAGUCUCCACCCCACUCACCAACAACCACCGGUGAGGAUUUACCUUCUUCACCCCAUAAACCCCCCUGGGCACCCACUUCCACCACUGGCUUUAAGUCCUCAGCCAGUUUUGACACAUUUGUCACAGUAAUGGCACCCAGCCCCUCCCCCCCUUCUGCGACGGCCUCAGAAUCAUCCUCUGUCUCCCCAGCCUGAUUAAAGUACAGCAGUCCAGUUGCUUGUGUACAAAAUACAGCAGGCUCUAACUGAUAUCUGCCGGGCCCAGGCUACAAGGCUAAUGGCACUCAUGACUCUUCCCAGGACAAGCCAGGCCCUGUGUGCCAGCAGUUUGCUCAGUUCCUGUCUUGAUAGGUCUCUCUGAAAAAUCUAUCAGACAGCUGCAGCUGAUUCAGAACUCUGCUGCUUGUGUCCUC